This 492-nucleotide ribosomal RNA is filed under the name uncultured bacterium. RNAcentral's name for it is "partial 16S ribosomal RNA". It matches the Rfam family "Bacterial small subunit ribosomal RNA", at positions 29 to 507 of the family's 1533-position model. The record is from RNAcentral.
AGUGAACGCUGGCGGUAGGCCUAACACAUGCAAGUCGAACGGCAGCACAGUAAGAGCUUGCUCUUACGGGUGGCGAGUGGCGGACGGGUGAGGAAUACAUCGGAAUCUACUUUUUCGUGGGGGAUAACGUAGGGAAACUUACGCUAAUACCGCAUACGACCUACGGGUGAAAGCAGGGGAUCUUCGGACCUUGUGCGAUUGAAUGAGCCGAUGUCGGAUUAGCUAGUUGGCGGGGUAAAGGCCCACCAAGGCGAAGAUCCGUAGCUGAUGUGAGAGGAUGAUCAGCGACAAUGAGACUAAGACGCGGUACAGGCUCCUACAGGAGGCAGCAGUAGAGAAGAGUGAGCAAUGGGCGCAAGCCUGAACAAGCCAGACCGCGUAGGUAGAGAAGGAGUUCGGAUUGUAUAGAGCUUUUGUUGAGAGAGAAAAGAAGCAGGAUAAUACCGCGCAGUUCUGACAGUACCAGAAGAGGAAGCGCCGGCUAACUACGUG